AUCUGUGCUGGUGGAGACACAUGUGCACGUUGGCGAGUCGCAAAUCCACACACUUGUGCAUCUAUGACUCUGAGUACCGCUUUGCAUGGCCUUCAGGGGCCUGGUACUCGAGUACUUUACACACUCUGAAUGUAAUGGAAUGUCUUUUUGUACAAUGUACAACUAAAAACAACUUUCAACAACGGAUCUCUUGGCUCUCGCAUCGAUGAAGAACGCAGCGAAAUGCGAUAAGUAAUGUGAAUUGCAGAAUUCAGUGAAUCAUCGAAUCUUUGAACGCACCUUGCACCCUUUGGUAUUCCGAAGGGUACACCCGUUUGAGUGUCAUUGUAAUCUCACUACGACCACUUUAUUGUUGUUUGUAUGUGGACUUGGAUGUUGCCGUGUAACAAACGGCUCGUCUGAAAUGCCUGAGUGUACCCUGCUUUUGCGGCGUAUUCGGUGUGAUAAAUCUUCACCGGAGUUGACUUUCGGGUCGCGCUUGUAUUGUCAGGCCCUAUGCUUCCAACCGUCCUAACAAGACAAUCUCUGACAAUUUGACCUCAAAUCGGGUGGGACUACCCGCUGAACUUAAGCAUAUCAAUAAGCGGAGGAAAAGAAACUAACAAGGAUUCCCCUAGUAACGGCGAGUGAAGAGGGAAAAGCUCAAAUUUUGAAUCUGGUGUCUUUGACUCCCGAGUUGUAAUCUAGAGAAGUGUUUUCCGUGUUGGACCGUGUACAAGUUCCCUGGAACGGGGCGUCAUAGAGGGUGAGAAUCCCGUAUAUGCCACGGACUACCAAUGCUCUGUGAUACACUCUCAACGAGUCGAGUUGUUUGGGAAUGCAGCUCAAAAUGGGUGGUAAAUUCCAUCUAAAGCUAAAUAUUGGCGAGAGACCGAUAGCGAACAAGUACCGUGAGGGAAAGAUGAAAAGCACUUUGGAAAGAGAGUGAAACAGUACGUGAAAUUGUUGAAAGGGAAGCGUUUGAAGUCAGUCACGUCUGUCGGAAUUCAGCCUGGCUUCUGCCUGGUGUACUUUCCGUCCGACGGGUCAGCAUCAAUUUCGACCGAGGGAAAAAGACGUGAGGAAUGUGGCUGUCUUCGGGCAGUGUUAUAGCCUCGCGUUGUAUGUCUCGGUUGGGAUUGAGGAACGCAGCGCGCC
This 1137-nucleotide ribosomal RNA is filed under the name uncultured Sebacina. RNAcentral's name for it is "eukaryotic LSU rRNA". The stretch from base 535 to 1137 matches the Rfam family "Eukaryotic large subunit ribosomal RNA", at positions 1 to 606 of the family's 3401-position model. The record is from RNAcentral. Lineage: Eukaryota; Fungi; Basidiomycota; Agaricomycetes; Sebacinales; Sebacinaceae.